GUGAUAUUAAGCAAAACCCAAAAAAGACAGUCUCAGUUCGGAUUGAAGGCUGAAAUUGCCUUCAUGAAGCCCGGAAUUGCUAGUAAUGGCAGGUCAGCAUACUGCCGUGAAUACGUUCCCGGGCCUUGUACACACCGCCCGUCACACCAUGAGAGUUGGGGAUACCCGAAGCCUGUGAGCUAACAGUAAUGAAGCAGCAGUCGAAGGUAGAAUCAAUGAUUGGGGUGAAGUCGUAACAAGGUACC
RNAcentral lists this ribosomal RNA (245 nucleotides) under uncultured bacterium. RNAcentral describes it as "partial 16S ribosomal RNA". It matches the Rfam family "Bacterial small subunit ribosomal RNA", at positions 1257 to 1500 of the family's 1533-position model. The record is from RNAcentral.